GAUGAAGAACGUAGCGAAAUGCGACAAGUAAUGUGAAUUGCAGAAUUCCGUGAAUCAUCGAAUCUUUGAACGCACAUUGCGCCCCUUGGUAUUCCGAGGGGCAUGCCUGUUCGAGCGUCAUUAUAACCCCUCAAGCUCAGCUUGGUGUUGGGGCCUGCCGCACGGGCAGCCCUUAAAAUCAGUGGCGGUGCCAUCUGGCUCUAAGCGUAGUAAUUCUUCUCGCUAUAGAGUCCCGGUGGAUGCUUGCCAUUAACCCCCAAUUUUCUAUGGUUGACCUCGGAUCAGGUAGGGAUACCCGCUGAACUUAAGCAUAUCAAUAAGCGGAGGA
This 328-nucleotide unclassified non-coding RNA is filed under the name soil metagenome. RNAcentral describes it as "partial contains 5.8S ribosomal RNA, internal transcribed spacer 2, and large subunit ribosomal RNA". The stretch from base 1 to 120 matches the Rfam family "5.8S ribosomal RNA", at positions 35 to 154 of the family's 154-position model. The record is from RNAcentral.